UAUUUUGAGAUACUAGUAGGCUGUACAGAGACAGAAGCAGGUGAGACAAAGACGCAAAAUGGAUACUGUCAUUGAGGAUUACUUCAGACGUGGAUUGUAGGAAAGUCUUAUUGAUUAUAUUUCAGUUAAUUUAGUGAGGUGUAGUUCAUAGAUGCCCACUAGAUGGCGCCAGUGUUAGUUUUUGUUUUGUCCCUUGCGAGAUCCUGUAGUUCCCUCGUGCAGUCUACCGAGCUGGAAUCAGCUGCACUGUGUGUUUGGUGGCAAAUACUCUAUAAAUUCACCAUUUGUGUGCGUCAAUUUGACCAAACCACACAUAUACCACACACUUACGCUACACCGACAUACACACACUCACACACCUCUGAUCACAACGUCCACACUGUCUUGUACCGAGCUGAUGUCCCAGUGCUGUGUACUAAACACUAAAUUGGCUAUUAAAGAUCUGUUGAAUGAA
This is a long non-coding RNA of Astyanax mexicanus (Mexican tetra), 454 nucleotides long. RefSeq lists it as uncharacterized. The transcript is spliced from 2 exons. NCBI's taxonomy places the organism in Eukaryota, Metazoa, Chordata, Actinopteri, Characiformes, Acestrorhamphidae. The record is from RefSeq and is a predicted model, not a curated record.